GUAGGGCGCAAGCGUUAAUCGGAAUUACUGGGCGUAAAGCGUGCGCAGGCGGUUUUGUAAGUCUGUCGUGAAAGCCCCGGGGGCUCAACCUGGGAAUUGCGAUGGAGACUGCAAGGCUUGAAUCUGGCAGAGGGGGGUAGAAUUCCACGUGUAGCAGUGAAAUGCGUAGAGAUGUGGAGGAACACCGAUGGCGAAGGCAGCCCCCUGGGUCAAGAUUGACGCUCAUGCACGAAAGCGUGGGGAGCAAACAGGAUUAGAUACCCUGGUAGUCCACGCCCUAAACGAUGUCUACUAGUUGUCGGGUUUUAAUUAACUUGGUAACGCAGCUAACGCGUGAAGUAGACCGCCUGGGGAGUACGGUCGCAAAGAUUAA
RNAcentral lists this ribosomal RNA (373 nucleotides) under uncultured organism. RNAcentral's name for it is "partial 16S ribosomal RNA". It matches the Rfam family "Bacterial small subunit ribosomal RNA", at positions 527 to 897 of the family's 1533-position model. The record is from RNAcentral.